Molecule: ribosomal RNA, 239 nt
Filed under: uncultured bacterium
Lineage: Bacteria
Description: partial 16S ribosomal RNA
Rfam family: Bacterial small subunit ribosomal RNA
Source: RNAcentral
AUGUUCCUACGGGACGCAGCAGUAGGGAAUCUUCCACAAUGGACGAAAGUCUGAUGGAGCAACGCCGCGUGAGUGAAGAAGGGUUUCGGCUCGUAAAGCUCUGUUGGUAGUGAAGAAAGAUAGAGGUAGUAACUGGCCUUUAUUUGACGGUAAUUACUUAGAAAGUCACGGCUAACUACGUGCCAGCAGCCGCGGGAAUACGUAGGUGGCAAGCGUUUUCCGGAUUUAUUGGGCGUAAA